GCUUGGCGGCUUCCCUCGGUCUUGAUCAAUCUCUAUCUUGCUCGGUCUCAAUCUUGGCUGAUCUCGGCCUUGAUUUGGUCCCUGAGUCACGAUCUUGGCAAUCUAACUUUGUGUCAUGAUCCGGUAUGACGUGGGGUUGAUUCUCGGCCUGUCACCCCCUGUCUCGAUUAAUCAAAAAAAUGUCAAGUCCGUUUUUGACCGUAUACAUGGAGCAUAUUGAAUUGUAGACAAUAGUGGAAACUGAAAAAAGUAUUACUCCCUCCGUUCUAAUUUAUGUUAACCUAUUUGACUGGGCACUUAGUUUAAAAAUAAUAAUUUUUUUUGGAAUUUAUGGUCCUAAACAAGUCAAAAAGGGGUCCAUAGUAUUUGUGUGAUUAUAAAAACUUUCUCAUUAAGGGUAGAAUUGAAAGUUUAGGUUAAAUUGAUUUAAAUUUAGAAAGGGGUCAUUCGUUUUGGAAAGGACCAAAAAGAAAAUAGGUUCACAUACACUGGAAUAGAGGGAGCACUAUCUUGUGACACCCAAACUGGUGGUAUGUUUAGCAUAAGGAGGAACAUGUUGGCUCAAUGAUAACAUCAGAUCAAGGAGCUCUUCUUUUGAUAGCUGGACAGGGUGCUAGUGGACAGACAAAGGAGAAAUACGUUACCUGUUAGGCAAGGUAACAAAGCAUUACAUUCAAUAUAGAAACUUUUAUUGUUAAUGAAAUAACCCAUUACUUAGGGUUAUGCUCAACUCAAGCUAUCGAAUCGAAGGAGCAUCACUUUUGAUGGACGAAUUUACUCAUGAUAGUAAUAUUAGGCAUGAAGGAAUAACUGUUGUAUUAUUUAUACCUAGUAAUGCAAAGUCAAAGAUUUCUUUGUGGUCCCUUUUCUUUCUCUACUUCUUUGUCUUUUAUGAAAGACAAUGUGUCCCUCAACGGUUAUGGAAAGUUUCUUUCUUCUCUUUACAUUGAAUUACUCUUUGUUGGGCUUGUAAAGAGCUAGUAAAAGGGAGUGGCCUCGUGCAUAUAUGAAAUUGUUCCUGAAGGUCAAACGGGUCGAUUUGCCCCCAACUGCGCACGAGAUAUACGUGAGCCUAAUCCAAAUAAUUUUUAGCAUUGGUUUGAUAAGUAUUCAGUAAGUUGUAUAAGUUAAUUUUUAUUUCCUUCUUGUUCUUGGUCAAUAUUAUGGUGGAUCAAUGACACUAUUUAAAGGUGCUAAUCCAGUGUAUAAUUUUUAGUCAUUUAUUUUCUCAUUGAUAGCUGUGUAUGUCCCUGGAUUACUCUCCUUCAUAAUGUAAAAACAUAUUGGAAGCCUCUUGUAAUUCUUUUCCGGUGCUCCUCUUAUCUUAUUUAUACCUUAUUGAAUAGAUUUUCAUGCCUUGUAAAAAGGUGAUGUGUUGUAGAAAUGCGGCACUUUUAAUACAAAUUUUAUAGACUUUAUAUUAACUUUUAAAGUAUCUUAGAUUAUUUUUACGUUGUUUGUAGGAAAUUAGACUUGAAGAGCCAAGAACAUGAAGAAAAAAAAAGAAUCAAAAACCUUGAAGAAGUAAAAUUUGCAAUUAGUUAUGCGACCGCAAAAUAGAUAGGCGGGCCGCACUUCUAUCGCAAAGCGUCUAGACAUUCUUAGUUUUUAGAAUAAAUAUACGGUCUAUUAUGCGGAGAGCAUAACCAAUGUGCAGAUCGAAAAAUUAUCGCACAAAUGCUAGAGGAAUUUUCAGCUAUCAGAAGCGACAAGUCUGCAACCCAUUAUGUGGACCAUGAAAUAAUUAUGCGGACCGCAUAACAGAUCUGCGAUAGCAUUCUGAAAAAGUUGAAGAUCAAUUUUACAGUGAACCGCAGAUCACGUACGCGGUCCGUUUCUUGAUCGCGGAUCUUAUCUGAGGGAUAUUUUUGUCACAGAUUUGUCCGCAAUUUUUGGCAAUUAUAAAUAGAAUUGUUUACCGUGAAAAUGGUAAUUAUAAUUAAAUUUGAUUUUGCGGUUCCAUAAAUACGUGAUCUAUUUUUAUGCUUUUUGUUUGGGCAAUAGAUGCUAAGUGAGGUACUUGGAAUCAAGAUAAGAGCUUAAAAACAAGAUGUUAACCAAACCAAAUUGCUGUCAAUCGGGGCCUCGAGUUUACUUAUUCGGGGCCUCGGGGUCAAGUUCAAUGUCCGCCGAGGGUGAUCGAGGGACGACUAACAAUUAUAAUCAAAUCAAUGAUGUCUCUUUAUGGCCAAUAAUAAGAAAUAAAUGACGGACAAUAAAUAGAAAACAAUGGAUAUGAACAUAAAUGCAAGUAAUGAGAUCAAGAGAAUAUGUUAGAGAGCAGAGAGAAUGUUCUUGUGUAUUUAGUAUUGAGCAAUAGGUAUUUACAAAAGGACAAGGAUCCCCUUUAUAUAUGAGGGGGAAUCCCAACAUAGUACAGAUGUAUUAAUUACAAAGAUAAGAAAGUGGUACAACUAGUUAAUGCCUUGAUUCUUUUUUUGGACUAGUCUACUAGGCUUUAUUAGCUGUAUGUACGCGCCUUGGGAACUUCACCUUGAUCCAUCGAGACCACUAAUUUACAUUGCCUUGCGGCCGGUCAUUAUUCACACUACCUCGAAGUCGAUCACCGAGAAUCCUUAGAGUCUAUCACUGAAAAUACUUCCUUGAUGAUCGUAAAAUCGAACCGUCGCUUUCUACCGUAUACAGAUAGUACCCGCGUUUCGUAGAACAAUGUGAUAGGAAACGAUUUUGAACUCAUACUCCUUAAGCAUCAUUAUCAUGACGUCAUCCCAUUAGAGCAUUAAAUUCCAUAACUCAAAAGUCGCACAAUGGUCGCCGUCAAACAUGACUAUCGAGAAGCCCACAAACAGCUAUUGGUUCGUCCUUUCCGCUGCCCAUAUGGCUUCUAUAACUGCAUCAGUCAUUUGAUAAUUCACACUUUUACAACAUAUUCAAGUUUUCAAAGCCAAAUCCCUCCCCUUUCACAUUCUUUCUUCUUUCGUUCUUGAUUCUCUGCCUACUUUCUCAAAAAAGCCUUUCCACCAACAUGGCUAGAACUUCCAAGACAGUUCCUCAGAAAAACAAGGCUAGCUCUUCAUCUCAAAUAUCCAAAGGAAAGCCUAAAGUGAUACCCACCGUUGAACAGUGUACCCCUACUGAAUUCAACACGGCGAAGGAUUUUUCCGUCGACAGAUCCUCGUCUACACUGGGCUGAUCUGAACACAUGUCUCCGUAUAUUAGUGUUGUGACCGAUACAGGAAAAGUGAAAGAAGACUUUCAAUGGAGGGAGGCAGUGCUGGUUGAGAUCCCCCAUUCUAACGAGAGCAUAACAUACCACAAGGCUGGCUUCCUUUAUGUAUAUACAUACGCAUUCACUUUAGGUCCGGUCGAUUGAUCGAACCCUUCUUCCCCGGUGAUAUAUCCGGUUAUUCUCGACUUCUGCAACAAGUACCGAGUGAUUCUUGGCCAGAUCUAUCCAAGAAUCAUAGUAAAAUCCUUCUUUCCACCUAUAUCAUAUUUUUAGGCUUCUCCCCCUUAUCCUCCAUCCUAAAAAAUUUUGGCCACUAUGUUUACGCAAGCUUUUGCGACGGAGUACAAAUGAGACCGCCUCCCGACGGUGAGGUGGAGACUUCGGAGCUUGAUAAGGGCAAGAAGUGGAAGAAAAAGGCGGCUGCUGAUUCUCCUGUGGCUAAGAAAGCUAAAUCAUGCAGGCCUAGAGGUUCCGCUAGGACCUCGACUUCAGCUUCUGGAGCAAGUCCCAGUACUAGCGAUGAAGACGAUGAUAGGAUAAGUACUGUUUGGUACAAAGGAUGAGGUCGGGUGCGGAUGUCCCACAUGUAGAGACCACUAAAUUGGGAACGGUCGAUUCAGAUCGAUCCCGUGCGGUGGAGACCCUCGAGGAUGGUGCGAACAUGGUCCUUGAGCCCCUAAUCAGAUGUGGUGCAGUUCCUAUUGGGGAGACCGUUGCUGCUAGUUCAAAAGGGUCCGGGCCCAGAGCUUUUCAGGGCCAGGAUUUUCCCUUUGGUGACAUCGAUGCCCUGGGUGGCCUUAAUUUGUGUCCUCAGUUCUCGUCUGGGGAGUUAAGGGACGCUCAGGACCCAAAUGUUGCCAACGUGGGGGGUCCUCUCAAGGGGGAGAUAAGCUUGGUAACUUCCUUGAUGACGUAGACGAUGUCAGCGAGGACAUCGAUAUCGAUGCUCCCAACUCUAUCGAGGCACCGGAGAAGUUCCAGUGGUAGGUGAUAGCUGAUCAUGUAUACUUUUCUACUCUCAAACAUAUUUCCUCAUUUUUCUGAAUCUCCUGCUUCUUUGUAGUGUAAGGACAUGUAUGAUCAUGCCUUCUUUAGGCUCCAAGAUAAGCUUUCAUGUUGUGGAAAUGAGCUCGAGAAGCUCACAUCUGGACUACAGGAGUCGGAGGCCUCCUUUGCCCAAAAGGAGAAGGAUUUAAGCAAGCUUCGGGCAAAUUUGGAGGGAGUGCUCCGAGAAAGGGCUGACCUUGCUGAGUAGGUAACUUGUUAGUCGUAAAUCCGUUCGUCGUUCUCAUAAUUCGAUGUUUACUGACUCAUCUUUUCCUUUGCAGAUCGGGCAGAAGAAUGUGGAAAUCCUCGAGCUGAGGAGGCAAAAUGAGGUAAUGACCUCGGAAUUUGCAUCGACCUAGGGUUUUCUCCAAAAUGCUCGAGAAGAAAUUACUACUCUAUCUGCGACCAUGUCCAAAGUCGAAGAAAAAGUUGCUACUUAGCUGAAAGACGCCGCUACUGUGAAUAAAAUAGCCCGAGAUAUAUCGGUGGAGGCCGAGCAAAAGCUGAUUCGGACUUUCACUCACGCUAGUGCGAAGGCGAGGAUGCAAGCCUUAGAGGAAGCCAGUGCUAAAGGUGCCAAUCUCUCAGCUGAGAUCGAGGAGGCCCGAGAGUCAGAGGAAGAAUUGGCGCUCUUAGUCGCUUGGGACAAAGGUCCCCGAGAUGGUUCAGAGGGUAGUGGCGAUGAAGAGUAGGCCUACAUCAUCCCUGGAGAUUCUACUAUUCUGGGCAAUCAUCCCUCUCAUAGAGCUUUUGUUCUUUGUGCUAGCUCUUUUGUCAUUUCAACUCACAGCCUUUGCCCAAAUCUUCAUCCUCUUCUUCCUAUUUUACCGUAGCCAUAGCUGCUACAUCAAAACCCGUUCAUCAAGGGGAGGAGAGUUUUGCCUCUAUUCCGUGUGCGAUCGAUGGCACACUACCGGUAUCCGGUGAGCUGACCUCGAGGUGCUUUGUCUCGAGGAGAGACUUCACGUUGGAGAGACCUACCAACAUUUAAGGGCAUCGGGAGCAUGCGUCGAGGUUCAUCUCCUCAAUAGGGGAGGGACACCUCGAGAUGAUUAGGAAAGACUACGGAUGGGGAGAAGGAGUGGUACUGCAAGUACCUUCCCUGGAGGAGAGCAUCAUGACCCAUGUCGAGGGGUUUUCGAGCGUGUAUACAUAUCCCAUUAUAUUGGGUCCCUCGACAGGGUCGUGCUUGAAUUUUGUAGGAGGUAUCAGGUUACCCUAGCGCAGGCUCACCCAUCCCUUUCGAAGAUAGUGCUGAUGAUAAGGUACUUUGCGGAUAAGGUCGUGCUCUAAUUCACCCUUAGCCAUCUCGUUAGGUUAUAUCAGCCUCUACAUUACCGGGGCUUGAUUAUUCUAUGACAUCGAUCCACCUGGUCCCCUGCCGUUAACGAAGAAGAGGACGAGGAUCGAGGGUGGAUGAGUGGUUUGUUCGAGCACGGACAAUCGAUAUUAUCCCUAGAGAGUUUUUGCCAUUUCCUGAGAAAUGGAAUUUCACACAUAAGUGGUAUACUUUUAUUUUUAUCGCUUUGUCCAUAGUGGAGGCAGGCUCCGUAAAGGCAUCUUUUCAUUUAAUUUUUUUAGCGAUUCCUUGGUUACCGAACGAGGUCCCUGAUCUAGCUGAAUGGUCUCGUAAGCUGGCAGCUUGCUCGACCUAUGAUAAGCACAAGUGACGAGACAUGUCCAAGGGGAGAUGGGAGGCAAAGCAUCAUGUUAGUUGUUUAGUGGAUUGUAUCCUCAGAAAGGUACUUUCUUUCUAGCGCACUAACUCUGCCACCGCAGGUGUUGGAGGUUUUUCCGAGAUGAGGUUGUGCCCCCUGGGGAGGAGGAGAGAUUGACAACCCCGGGGUCGAGGAUCUAUAAUAAACGGAAAGAGUCUUUGAGGAGUGAGGAUGCUCAUAACGGGGCAAGUACUCUUAUGAGGUUCAAAAGAUAUGAGUCGGCCGAGCUUCCAGCUUCGGAGGCUUCGAGGGACAAGGGUCAUGCGACACCUUCCUCUUCUCCUACCUAAGGCACUUCGGGGGAAACUAAGCCAUCAAACAUAGGCUCGACUCUAGUGAGGCUCACCGGCUUAGAUUUAUGGUAAGCUUUGGUAGCCGGUAUAGGCUUUUUUUGGUUUCACGCCCUCCCCUUCUUAUAGAGUUUUCUUUUACAGGCCUUUGAAAAGCUUAAGUCUGAGCUGCUUCGCUGUGAGGCCAUGCUGCGGAAAGCUUUGGAUGGGGAGAAAUCCCUUAGGCUCCUUUGUACGAAAAAGGAAGAUGAGCUGGUACUCCUGCGGUGCGAGGUGGAUCGAAGUCAGAACCACGAAAACCAUCUCGAAAAUUAGGUAACCUGCAUUUCGUGUCGGUGUAUGCUCCCCCUUCCACUUUUUGAGAUUAAUAUUUUGAUAUUUCAGUUGGAGAGCAAAAUAGAGCAGCUGGAACGACUUUGGGGCGAAGUUGGUUGGGUCAAACGCGAGUUUAACGAGUUGAAGGCUCUGGCAGAUGUCCAAGUUACGACCAAGGAGGAUGCUUUGUCUAAGGCUUCCGCCCUCGAGUUGCAACUCCGGAACGCUCGUGCAAACGAUUCUGUCCGAGCGAAUAUGAUUACAAGGCUCGAGUCUAAGCUUUUGAAGGUGAAGGCUGAGGUUGUGGAUGCUCGGGCCAAGGCUAUGAUGAGCCACACUAAGGCUGACCAAAAAGUGGCGGUCUAUUUGAGGUGUAAAUCUCGGAGGGAAACCCUCGAGGAAACUCAUGCCAGAGGCUUUGACCUAUCGGAAAAGAUAAAGUAGGCGAAGGUGGAAGAAUAUGAUGCUAAAUUCCUUCUGUCUGAUGCUGAGGAUAGCGAGGAUGAGGCCGACGGGUAUAGUCCCUAAGGAGGAUGUAGAUUUCAUUUCCAGUAUCUGUACAAAGUACUUUCAAAGUACGUUAUAAAUGGAGCUUGUAUUUUCUAUCAUAUAUGUAUAAAGGAAAACCUCACGGUUUCAUUUAUCCUGCAUUUCUUUUUGCCUUGAUUUCAGCCAGAUGAGCUGGUCAUUGAGUUAAAAGGAAUCCUUACAUUUGUGGUAUGGCCCUGGGCUCAUUAGGCUGGCCCGUAGGCUCUUACGUGCUUGGUCGAUACGACCUCUUAGUAUAAGCCGGCGUUCGAGCUCUUAUGCUUGUGCUCUUAGGCAUAUUUGGUCUACUAUUUUGGGUUCAGUCUCUGAGUCGGGUAUCGACUCGAGCUCAUUCGACCCUCAAGUUUUUGAAUUUCAAGCUGGCCCUUAGGUUCUUACGCGUUGGGUCAGUACGACCUUUUGUGUGGGCUGGCGACAGUGGCUCUUAUUCUUUGGGUCGAUGCGACCUUUUAUAUGGGCUGGCGAUAGUGGCUCUUAUGCUUUGGGUCGAUGCGACUUUUAAUAUAAGCUUUAUUUUUCCCUCGAUAAGGAUUUUUUGAAAUAAUGUUUGCUUGACUCUUCGACGGUUUGAUAGAAACCUCGAUUGUGAGUCAUUAUAUGGUGAUAAACAAGCCCCUUGUGAGGUUUGGCUCGGUGGCUGAGUAUCUUGAAGCCUGUAUUUAGGAGCUGACAUGGUCGAAGCUCUUUUGCCUAUGUCGAGGGUAGCCUGUUUAAUCAGUUCUUUUCGAAGGUAGCCUAUGUCGAGUAAUUGAAGGCCUGUGAUUUUAUAGCGACAGUCGGGCGUCCCCGAGUCAUGUUAGUUUGGAUGGUACAACCUUGUGACUGUAGUCAUUUGUGUUCUGCUAGAGCCUUUCAGUCCCGAGUGAAGUAGUUUCAACGUCUAUAUCGAGGGUAUACCUAUUUAGGGGUCUUACAAGUUCGAUAUAUAGCUUUACUUUGAGAUUGGGUUUAUGCCUUUAGUAAGAACUUACAAGUUUUACAUGCCUUUGAGGUCUUACAGUUUUGGAUACUUGGUACAAGUAUUGUUCAUUCCUUGCUUGAGGUCUUACAAAUAUUGUCACUUGGUACAAGUGUGGUUCAUGCCUUGCUUGAGGUAUUACAAAUAUUGUCACUUGGUACAAGUGUGGUUCAUGCCUUGCUUGAGGUCUUACAGAUAUUGUUGUUGCCUUGUAUAGGUGUUACGAGACCGAGGUUGCCCGCAUGUGGUCUUAUGACCUCGGGUUUUGAUAAGUCGAUGGAGAUAGUGAUUGACGGCAGUCCCCGAGUCAUCGAGGAUUUCUCGGCUCGAGAGACAUUACUUGUAAACUUGGUAUUGCCUCAUUAAGGGCUUACGAUUUCGGAGUUUCCGACCCGGAGGUCAUGUGGCCUUGAGUUUUCGAUGCCAGUCCCCGAGUGUUUGGACAUUUUUGGCUCUAGAGCUAUUUUGUGAUCUUGUUGUUGCCUCAUUAAGGGCUUACAAAUUUGAAGUUCCGACUCAGGGAUCAUAUUGUUUUGUGUGGUUUAUGCUAGUACCCGAGUGUUUGGUACGUUUUUGACAGAGGAAUCUUUUUUGCAAAAAUACCGAGUUUCUUUGAUUACUUGGUACAAGUAUACAUGUUUUUACUUUUACGGGCUUGGUUGUUCUAUGCGGACACGGUUCGUUCGACCGUUUAGCCAGGUACAUUAUUUUCCUAUCUAGACCCCACUUAGCGCAACUUAGCUUCUCCGAGUAGGUGACCUUCGAGGGGGAUGCCCCCUUGUAUUUGAGGUUUAAUGCAAAAGAAGCCUUGAAUACUUCUUGGGUCUUCCUUAGGUAGAUAUAGAUGUUGCCUCGUUAAAAACCUUGCCGGUAAAACCCUUCUUGGGAUAAAAAUCCGAUCGAAGGAAAAGAGUGCAACUCAUGCUUUUGAAACCUAAGGCCUUCGAGCUGGGAAGAGCUUCGGUUAUUUCGACCGGAUACCUGCAUUUAGGUUAGUAUAAAAUGUAACUGAAAAGGGGUUUAGCUAUACCUUAGUGCUGACGGUGCUUAGGAUCUUGAUGUGAUUCAAUUGCUUGUUAUGAGGACUCGGUACGGUCCUUUGUUUUGUUUAGUUGUGGUAGCCGAGAGUGUAGCUUCUUAUCGCUAUUUUACUGUUUGCUUAUCCUUUGGCUCCAUCGAGGCUGGAGGUACUAGUGUCGGCAUUACAUCGUGCACUGAGAACAUUUCUCUUGCCGUAUGUUCUUCCCCGUAGACGGUUUUAAUCCCAUCCUUUGUCGGGAAUUAAAUCAUUUGAUGGAGGGUGGAUGGCACUGCUCUCAUGCAGUUUAUCCAUAGCCUUCCGAGAAAGGCGUUGUACCUCAUAUCUCCUUUGAUGACAUGGAAUUUGGCAUUUUGGGUUGUGCCGUCCACGUUGACUGGGAGGACUCGAGAGGCGGGCACAAUUUGGUCAAGCAGUCUCAGCUGCUCUACCACCUUCGGCCUGAUAAUGUUGGCCGAGCUACCUGGAUCUACAAGUACACAUUUAAUUUGAAAUAUAUUUACAAGGAAAGAGAUUACCAGUGCAUCGUUGUGAGGUUGAGACAAGGUCUUGAUGUCAUUAUCGUUGAAUGUGAGAGCAUCUUUGGGUAUGUAACCCCGAGUUCGCUUUUCUCUGGUGAUGGAUAUUUUUGUUCUUCUCAUCAUGGGAUCAUGUGGGGCAUUGAUGCCUCCCAACAUCAUGUGGAUGACAUGUUGUGGCUCAUUUGGUUUGUUCUUCUUGGUCGCCUCUCUUUCCCGGAACUGAUUUUUGGCCCGGUCGUUGAGAAAUUCUUGGAGGUGACCUUUACUGAGUAGUCGGGCUACUUCUUCUCGGAGCUGGUGGCAAUCCUCGAUCUUUUGUCUGUGCGUGUUAUGAAAUUCACACACUAAGUUAUGAUUUCUUUGCUAAGGAUAUGAUUGCACAGGCCUGGGCCACCUGAUGUCUCUAAUUUUACUGAUGGCGAACACGAUGUCUGAUACGUCAACGUUGAAGUUGUAUUCCGACAAGCGAGGUGCCUCUGUUGGCCCUGUGUGCCUACCGAAUCUAGCUCUAUUGACGAGCCCCCAAGGAUUCUAGCCUCGGUCCAUCCUUCAAUCAUUGCGGGGCAUGUUGCGCCUCGGGGCAUUUCUCCUAUCUUCGGUGUAUGGCUGGUACCUUUCUUUGUUUGGCUUUGGCUCCUUCACCAAAAGCCUACUUGGGUAUAUCGAGCCCGAGAGGGCUCCUAGUUGGUCCUCCUCGACCCUAAUUUUCGAUUGAUAUCGGUUGUGAAUGUACGACCAGGUCACGAUGAGAUAUUCAACCAGAUUCUGUUUCAGCUGCUUCGAAGCCACUGAGCUUCGUUCAUUCAGACCUUGAGUGAAGGCCUGUACUGCCCAGUAGUCGAAGAAUAUUGGUAGUUCUAUUUGUUCUAAUUGAAAUCGAGAUACGAACUCUCGCAGCAUCUUAUUCUCCCUCUGCUUGAUCUUGAAGACGUCAGUUUUCCUUGUUGCUACUUUGAUGGCACCGACAUGUGCCUUUAUGAAAGAAUCUGCCAGCAUGGCAAAUGAGUCUAUAGAGUUAGGAGCUAGGUUGUGAUACCACAUCAUGUCCCCUUUCGACAGUGUUUCCCAUAAUUUCUUCAGUAAGACGGAUUCGAUCUCAUCGUACUUUAGGUCGUUUCCCUUCACUACGCAAGUGUAGGCAGUGACGUGCUCAUUGGGGUCCGAGAUUCCAUUGUACUUUGGAAGCUCGGGCAUUCUGAACUUCUUUUGAAUGGGUUUUGGGGCCGCUUCCUGCGGGAACGGAUUUUGCACGAACUUCGUCGAGUCUACCCCUUUUAGAAUCGGGGGUGCGCCUAGUAUUUGAUCGACCCUGGAAUUCUAGGUCUCCGUCUUCUUGUCGCUGGCUUCUAUCUACUUCUCGUCCGACUCGAUCCUCAUUGUGAGGUCCUCAAGCAUCUUUACGAUGGUGGGGUCGAUUGCCGACCCAUUGUUGCUUGAUCUCUCUGGUACCUGCUCGGCUGGGGGGGUCGUCCCCGGUUCUACCAUGCUGGGAGUUUUCUAGUGACUUUGCAGUUGAGCAAUCACCAGCUGUUGUGCCUGUAACAUUUCAAAAAUAACAUGAAGGUUAACCUCUCAUUCUUCCCUAGUUGGGGUUUUCUGAGCUUCUUGUUGGUCUCCUUGAUGCACGCUCCAGUUAAUGUGGGAGCACGUCGCGUGAGACUGCAUCCACGGGAAUUGGUUCUAGUGCGUUCUCAGGGUUUUGUGGUGGUACGCCAACACCUGGAACAUCCACACCAUUCUCUCCAUAGUUCUCAAGAUUGUUGUUGACUGAGUCAUACAUUUCGACCUGAAAUCAAAAAACUUGGGCAAGAAAAAGUGUGAAAGAUAACUUGCAUUGUGUAGUAAGACCAACAAGAAAAUAAUCACUAUUAUUUUUAGCCUCACGAUGGGCGCCAAACUGUUUACCGUGAAAAUGAUAAUUACAAUUAAAUCUGAUUUUGCGGUUCUAAAAAUACGUGAUCUAUUUUUGUUCUAGUUGUUUGGGCAAUAGAGGCUAAGUGAGGUACUUGGAAUCAAGAUAAGAGCUUAAAAACAAGAUGUUAAACAAACCGAAUAGCUAUCAAUCGGGGCCUCGAGUUUACUUAUUCGAGGCCUCGGGGUCGAGUCUGAUGUCCGCCGAGGGUGAUCGAGGGACGACUAACAGUUAUAAUCAAAUCAAUGAUGGCUCUUUAUCGCCAAUAAUAAGAAAUAAAUGAAAAUCCAUAAAUAGAACACAAUGGAUAUGAACAAUAAAUGCAAGUAAUGAGAUCAAGAGAAUAUGCUAGAGAGCAGAGAGAAUGUUCUUGUGUAUUUAGUAUUGAGCAACAUGUAUUUACAAAAGGACAAGUAUCCCCUUUAUAUAUAAGGGGGAAUCCCAACAUAGUACAUAUGCAUUAAUUAUAAAGAUAUGAAGAUGGUACAGCUAGUUAAUGCCUUGAUUUGUUUUUUGGACUUGUCCACUAGGCUUUGUCAGAUGUAUGUACGUGCCUUGGGAACUUCACCUUGAUCCAUCAAGACCACUAAUUUACAUUGCCUCGAGGCCGGUCGUUAUUCACACUACCGCGAAGUCGAUCACCGAGAACCCUCGGAGUCGAUCACUGAAAAUCCUCGAGAUGCCUUGAUGAUCGUAAAAUCAAACCGUUGAUUUCUACUAAUAACUAGGAUUUUUGUGGUAUAUUUUAGUCUGAAAAAGGUCCAAACACUUCAUAGCAUUGAAUACUCCAUUCCUUUGGAGCUUUUUAAGGAGAUUCUCUCACUUUUCUUCAUUGUAAGCUUUUAAUAUUUUCUUUCAUGCUUUAAAUAUUAGGAUUGUGGACCCAAAAUAGGUAUAAUAUUAAUGGGUGUUUACCAUUAAAUAUAAAUAUAUAAAUAUAUAUAUAUAUAUAUAUAUAUAAGGGGUUAUUGAUUUCUCUUCAUUUCUCAUGCUUCAUUCAUAGUUGGUGGUUGUAAAUAUUAAUUAAUGCCAUUUUACUUUAUCUUUCAGUUGAAAAAGUGUAUUAGGUUUUGUAGAAAAGAAUAGCAAGAACUCGAGGCUAUAAACCUUGUUUAAUAGAACCGCUUAUGAAUAAGUGGGUCCUACUUGGUAUAUAUUAGUUUCUCUUAAUUGUAACACUUUGGUAUUUGGAAAAUUCAUAAAGAGGAAAUUCAAUGUAAUUAUUGGAAAAUAUUGGGUAGUCACUUAGAAAUCAUUUGCACAUCAAAGGACUUUCCAUUAGAAAUGUAUCAUAUUAAAACUAUAACAUUACAUUCCAUGAAAGGGGACAUAACCUUUAUUUCUUAAUCCAGUAGUCAAAUCUCUUAACAAAAUAGCUUCUCUUCAUAGAUUACAAAGAUCAAACUCUUUCUAAACUAACGGGAUAAAAUUACGAUCUUAUUCAAGUAAUCUUUUGUUACACCCCACAUUUAAAUAAAGCGUGAAUUCUAGCGCGUCCAAUCAGCUGGAGACAUGUUUGAAGCCAGAAGGUGGUCACACGUUUCAGUAGGUCUGCACCAAGUGUCUCGCCGACAACCGGGGUGGGCGACGCAUUUUGCAUGUAGGAGCGGCGAAAAUUCCAAGGCUUGGUAUUAAUAUAAAAUGAUAGUAAGGCUCAUUUUUUUCAUUCUUAGAAGUAUCACUAGAACAAGUUCCCACAAAUACUGUCAACACACUUUUAGAAUUUCCUAUUGAAUUAAGGCAAAGUUGAAGGUGAAUAUGGAUUUGGCAAGAUUUAGGUUGAAGGAACUUGGAGUCGUUAUUGUAACCCGCCAUCGUCUGGUGACACUAAUUCUGAAGACUCGUUAAAGGCAAAGUUAAUCACCAUAGGAGUGUAAUUAGAUCUCCAACAAAAUAUGUGGGGGAAUCUUCUUUCUUGGCAUGAGUUAGCGUAAAUCUCUCAUUCUUUCUAAAUAACUCGUGUACCGAAGGUUUAGUAGUUCCAGGUCCUCUCAAUGAUAUUAUAUUGUUCUUGUGCAUUGUUGCUGGUAGCAUGUCUUAUAAAGUCUAUAUUAUUUCAGUUAGUAUAUCUCUUGAAACUGCUAUUAUAUUAGACUUCAAAUAAUGCAUGGCCCCAACGAGAGGCAUGGUUUUGCAAAGAUUUGGAUGCGUUUAUGAUCCAUGGUCUAUAGUUUUCCACAGUUUGAUCUAUGCCCCCCGACGGCUUGUCUUCGGUAUUUAGGUUGGAAUCACGUACUCACAUUUCUUAUGUUAUGACUCUGAUUUACUUGUGCUUCUUAGUCUUACAUAUUUAGUACAUGAUCCAUACUGACGCCCUUUCCUUUUUGGGUGUUGUGUUCAUGCCCAUAAGUACAAAUAGACUCGGUGACGCCCAUCCCAAGUAGGUUCAUGAUUCAGCUGUUGGUUGUUGCUCUCCACUUCUUCGCAGUAGUUGUUCAAAGGCCAAUAGAUACUGAAGCAGAUGUCAUAAACAUUUUGGGUACGAUGCGACCCUAUCCAGACCAAGUUGUGUAAUAUGUAUAGCUGUUCUGGGAAUCUUAGAGGCUUGCAAACUAGUGUUAGUAUUUGGUUGCAUGUAAUGGCUGGAUAUGACUAUGUUAGUCAUAGUGAUGAUCAUGUAUAAAACGCAUAUAUUGCUUUUGCUAAUUAGUUGUACUCAUUUUAAAUUUUGGUAGACGUUACUAGAAGGCCUCAAAGACCCAGUUUUUUAUGAAUAAAAGUAUGGAAGAUCACACAUGCAUCAGUUCCAUUUGCACCUCCCAAAGUUGGGGUGUGACAAACUUGGUUUCAGAGUAGGUCAUGUCCUCUACAAGCCGUAUUUAUUAGAGUCUUGUUUAUGGGUAUGUGGUGCACCAUACUUAUAAGCAGGAGGCUACAGGAGACGCAAAUCACUAGUUCAAAGACUAAAUGAAAAAGCAGGAGAAGGUACCAGCCAGGUGCCACCUGCCCUUAUGGGUCAACAUGGACCCCAUGAUGAGGUUGAAACUUAGGUUUUGGGGACAACACCACCACACCUGGAUCAUACUAGAGAAGUUUAUGCAUCCCCUAUUCCUCCGCUGGUUGUUCUCGAGCAACAUUUAGACAUGAGGAAUGUAGUGUAGCCUUUGACUUAAUUAGUGGCCUCUCAGGCCCAAUGUCAAAUCCCCGCCACCUCGGAUAGAGCGGUUAUCAGGAGAGUCCGAGAUUUUUUAAAUUUGUACACCCUGGUGUUUACCAUAAUAGAUCCCAACGAAGAUCUCCAGAAUUUUCUAGACCAAAUGCAGCGGACCUUAUGACUUAUGCAUGCCACCAAUACAGAGUCCAUAGAACUUGCCUCAUAUAGAUUGAGGGAUGUUGUUGUGACUUGGUAUGAGACGUGGGAGCAGUAUAGGGGACCUCUUACCCCACUGGGAUGGAAAGAGUUUUUUGAAGCCUUUCUGUAAGGGUAUUUGCCUAUUUAGCUCCACCGAGCUAAGCAUGAUAGAUUUUUACAGUUGGAACAAGGUAAUAUGAGUAUUCGGGAGUACAACAUGCAAUUUAACUCCUUGGCCAAAUAUGCUCUUUUAAUUGCAGCAGAGAUGAGUGAAAGAGUACAUCGAAUCGUGGGUGGACUAGGGCCACAUUUGAUUAAUGAAUGCACCACUACUUCUUUGAGUCUGAACUUGGACAUUAAUCUUAUCCGACGGUAAGUGCAACAUCACAGUUUUAAGAUCAGAUCCAUGGUCGGAUCACCUAUACUGGUCUGAGUUAGAAUCCACGGGGUCAGAGCUCGCAAUUUAGUAGAGGCCCUGGUAAGAUGAGGCCCCUGGUGCCGCAUUGUGGCAGGUGUGGUAGGAAUCAUUUUUGGCAUUGCCGUCAGGGUUCAGAUUUGUGCUAUUCUUGUGGGCAGCCCAGUCACAUCAUGCGUUUUUGCCCAGCAAGAAAUAUGGAUGGCGUGAUACCACCAACAGGAUUGACAACAAAUUAUUGAUUGAUAAUGCAUCCUCGUGAGCAAGGUAUACAGCCGCUGAUGGUAAGGGGUAGAGGUAGAAGUGGAAUGUCUAGCCCGAAUGUGCAACAGCAAAAUCAUAUUUAUGCAUUGUCAGGUCGUCAGAAUUAAGAGUCGUAACCCAAUGUGGUCAUAUGUAUACUAUCUAUAUUCUCCCCUAAUGUGUAUGCUCUGAUAGAUCUAGGAUCCACGUUGUCGUACAUUUCUCCAUUUGUGUCUAAUAACUGUGGUAAGAAACUUGAAUUGCUACAUCAACCAUCUGAAGUGUCCAUGCCCAUGGGUGAAUACGUGGUAGCUAGGCAGGUGUAUCAAGGUUAUGAUGUGAUGAUUCAUGAUCAAUAUACCUUGGCCUAUUUGAAUCAAUCGGAAAUGAUAGAGUUUGAUGUCACUGUAUACAGCGGAAAUCGAUGACUCGAUUUCAUGGCAUCUCGAGGGUUUCCAGUGAUUGACUCUGAGAAUUCUCGACAGUUACACUUCGAGACAGUAUGAGUAAUGAGUGGCCUCAAGGCAAUGGAAUUAACAGUCUCGGUGGAUCAGGGUGAAGUUCCCAAGGUAUAUACAUAUAGCUGGCUAAGUCUAGUGGUCUAGUCAGAAAAGCGAAUCAAUGCAUUAAAUGGUCGUACUAGCCCAUAUUUUUGUAAUUAAUGUAUUUGUACUAUGUUGGGAUUUCCCCUCUUAUAUAAAGGGUAUCCUUGUCAUUUUGUAAACAUUUGUUGCUCCAUACUGAAUAUACAAGAACAUUCUGUCUGCUCUCUAACAUAUUCUCUUGAUCUUAUUACUUCAUUUAUUGCUCGUAUUUAUUGUGAUUCUAUUCAUUGUUCGUCAUUUAUUGCUUAUUAUCGGCCAUAAAGAGCCUCCCUUGAUCUAUUUGUAACUGUUAUUCGCCAUCGACCGCCUUCGAUAGCUCCUAGCCGAGCUUCGGACUCGACCUCGAGGCCCUCGAAUAGGCAAGCUUGAGGCCCCAACCGAUAGCGAUUCGGUUUAACUAACACCUCAUUCUUAAGCUCUUAUCUCGUUUCUAAGUCUUUCACAUAACAUCUACUGCCUAACAACUGGCAUAAAAAUAGAUCACGUAUUUUUAGAACCACAAAAUUAAAUUUAAUUGUUAUUACCAUUUUCACGGUAAACAGUUUGGCGCCCACCGUGGGGCUUAAUAUAAUAGUGAUUAUUUUCUUGAAGGUUUAGCUACACAAGGCAAGUUAUCUUUCACGCUUUUUCUUGCCCAAGAUCUUUGAUUUCAGGUCAAAAUGUCCGACUCAGUGAACAACAAUCUUGAGAACCACGGAGAAAAUGGUGUAGAUGUUCGGGGUGCUAGUGUCCCACCACGAAACCCUGAGAACGCACCAGAAUCGAUUCUCGUGGACGCGGUCUCACGCGAUGCUCAACAUGUCGAUGUAAGCUCCCACACUAACAGGAACGUGCACCAAGGAGACUGACAAGAAGCUCAGGAAACCCCGGCUAAGGAAGAAUGGGAGGUUAACCUUCACGUUAUUUUUGAAAUGUUUCAGACACAACAGCUUAAGAUUGCUCAGCUACAAAGUCACCAAAAAACUCCCAGCACAGUUGCUCCGGGGACGGCUCUCCCGACCGAGCAGGUACUAGAGAGGUCAACCAACAAUGGGUCGGUAGCCAACCCCGCCAUCGUAAAGAUGCUCGAGGACCUCACAAAGAGGAUCGAAUCGGGCGAGAAGAAGAUAGAAGCCAAUGACAAAAAAGGUCGAGACGUACAACUCCAAGGUCGAUCAAAUUCCAGGCGCACCCCCGGUCCUGAAAGGUGUGGACUCAAAAAAAUUCAUACAAAGGUCGUUCCUAGAAGAAGCGGAUCCAAAACACAUUCCAAAGAAGUUCAGAAUGCCAGACCUUCAGAAAUACAACGGGACCUCAGACCCCAAUGAGCAUGUUACUGCUUACACUUGCGCAGUGAAGGGCAACGAUCUCAAGGACGAUGAGAUCGAGUCCGUAUUGUUAAAAAAGUUCGAGGAAACACUCUUGAAAGGGGCCAUGAUGUGGUAUCACAACCUAGCUCCUAACUCCAUAGACUCAUUUGCUAUGCUGGCAGAUUCUUUCAUAAAGGCCAUGCCGUCAAAGUAGCGACAAGGAAAUCUGACGUCUUCAAAAUCAAGCAGAGGGAGAACAAGAUACUGCGAGAGUCUUCGAAGCAACUGAAACAGAUCCUGGGCGAAUAUCCCGUCGUGACCUGGUCGGACGUUCACAAUCAAUAUCAAUCAAAAAUUAGGGCCGAGGACGACCAACUAGGAGCACCCUCGGCCUUGGUACACCCAAACAGGCCACCGACGAAGGAGCCAAAGCCAAGCAAAGAAAGGUACCAGUCAUACCCCGAAGACAAGAGGAACGCCCCAAGGCACAACAUACCCCGCAACGAUCGAAGGAUGGACCGAGGUCAGAAUCCUCGGGGACUCAUCAACAGAGCUGGCUUUGAUAGGUACACAGGGCCGACAGAGGCACCUUGCUUGUCAGAAUACAACUUCAACGUUGAUGUAUCGCACAUUGUGUUCGCCAUCAGUAAAAUCAGAGACACCAGCUGGCUAAGGCCCGUACAAUCAGAUCCUUCACAAAGGAACCAUAACUUAGUGUGUGAAUUUCACAAAAACACGGACACAUGACCGAAGAUUGUCGACAACUCCGGGAAGAGGUAGCCCGACUACUCGACAAAGGUCACCUCCGGGAAUUCCUCAACGAUUGAGCCAAAAAUCAGUUCCGGGAAAGAGAGGCGACCAAAAAGAACGAAGCAAAUGAGCCGCAACAUGUCACCCAUACGAUCUUUUAUGGUGUCAGUGUCGUGAAGAAACCACGGUCGGGAGAACGAAAAACAUCCCUCACCAGGAAGAGGAAAACUCGAGGCUCUAUCUCAGCCCCGUAACGACGCGCUGGUAACUUCUUUUCUUAUGGAUACAUUUCAAAUUAAACCUAUGCUUGUGGUUCCAGGUAGCUCGGCCAAUAUUAUCAGGUCAAAGGUAACAAAGCAGCUUGGACUACUCGACCAAACUAUGCCCUUCCCUCAAACCCUCAAUGAAUUUAACACGACAUCCACAAGGCAUAUUCUCGGUUGUUCUAAAUGAACAAAUAAAGGGCUGUACCGCACUCUUCGAGCAGAUAGCUAAAGGCCUACCGAGGUUCAAAGCGUCAUCGCCAACAAGGCCGAGCUUUUAUCCCGAAAAGGGUUUUACUGGCAAGGUUUUUAAUGAGGCAAUAUCCAUAUGCUACCUAAGGGAGACUCAACAAUUAUUAAGGGCUUCCUUUGCAAUCAACCUCGAAUACUGGGGGACAUCACCCCGGAAGGUCACCUACUUGGAGAAAGCCAAGACACAUCGAGUGCGGUCUCGAUAGGAAGAUAAUGUACCAGGCCAAACGGUCAAACGAACUGUGUCCGUAUAGAACAACUAAGCCCUUAAAUAGCAAAGAUAUGUAUACUUAAACCAAGUAAUCAAAGAAUACUUCACAAAAGCAUUUUGCGUGUCAAGAAAGCUCGACUUCUUUUGCAAAAAAAUGGCUCCAGAGACAAUAGACAAACCGAACAAUCGGGGAUUGGCAUCAACAACUCACAAAAUGUCUUAAGAGCCAAAAGAUGACCUGAACACUCGGGGACUGGCGUAAAAAACUCAAUACCAUAUUACCUUUGGGUCGGAAAUUCCAAAAUCGUAAGUCCUCAAUGAGGCAAUACCAAGCUUAGUAGUAAUGGAUCCCGAGUCGAGAAACCCUCGAUGGCUCGGGGACUACCGUCAAGCACCACCUCCAUUGACUUAUCAAAACCCGAGUUCAUAAGGCCACAUGUGGGCAGCCUCGGUCUCAUAAGACCUACAUAAAGAAACAGCAAUAUUUCUAAGAUCUCAAGCAAGGCGUGAACAAUACUUGUACUAAGUAUCCAAAACUGUAAGACUCAAAGGCAUGUAAAACUUGUAAGACCUUACUAAAGGGAUAAACCUGAUGUCAAAGUUUCAUCUAUAUAUCGAACUUGUAUGACCCAUAAAAAGGCAUACCCUUGAUAUAGAUGCCAAACCUACCUCACUCGGGACUUAAAGGCUACGGCCAAGCACAAAUGACUCCGGUCACAAGGUUGUACCAACCAAACUAACGCGACUCGGGGACACCCGACCGUCGCUAUAAAAUCAUAAGCCUUCAAUUACUUCGAAUAUACUUCGGAAAGAACCGGUUAAACAGGCUACCCUCGAUACAGGAAAAAGAGCUUCGACCAUGUUAGCUCCUAAAACACUGGCUUUAAGAUACUUAGCCUCCGAGCCAAACCUCCCGAGGUGCUCGAUCAUCGCCUUAUAAAGACUCACAAUCGAGGUUUUUUGAACCAUCGAAGAGUCAGGCAAAUAUUAUUUUAAAAAAUCCUUAUCGAGGGAAAAAUAAAGCCCUCAUAAAAGGUCGCAUCAACCCAAGGUGUAAGAGCCACUAUCGCCAGCCUGCAUACAGUAAAAGGUCGCAUCGACCAAAAGCUUAAGGGACGAUUGAGCUCGAGUCGUAACUCAAUUCGGAUAUUGAACCCAAAACAGCUAACUAAAUAUGCCUAAGGGCAAAAGCGUUUCGCCAACUUAAAAUUCAAAAACUUGAGGGUCGAAUGAGCUCGAGUCGUAACUCGAUUCAGAGAUUGAACCCAAAAUAGUUAACUAAAUAUGUCUAAGAGUAUAAGUGUGUAAAAGCCUACGGGCCAGCCCAAUGAGCCUCAAGGUCAUACCGUGAAUCUAAGGAUUCCCUUCAACUUAAAGACUAGUUCAUCUGGCUAAAAUCAAAACAAAAAGAAAUGCAGGAGAAACAAAACUGUGACGUUCCCCUCUUUAUACAUACACGCGAAAAAAUACAAGCUCUAUUUACAACAUACUUCGAAAGUACUAUGUACAGAAUCAAAAAAGGAAGUCUAUAUCCCCCUUUGGGACUAUGGCUCGUCGGCCUCAUCCUUGCUAUCCUCGGCAUCGGACAGAAGGAAUUUACCAUCAUAUUCUUCCUCCUUGGCCUGCUUGACCUCUUAGAAGAGGUCUAACUUGCAUGAAUUUCCUCGAGGGUUUCCUUCCGAUAUUUACACUUCACGUACUCUUUAAUAUUGUUAUCACGAUCGAGAGCUUCCCUCAGCUCAGCUCUAGCAUAGGCAACGCCCUUCAUAUAGGACGCAUGUAUAAAGUGAAACCGGAUUGUCUAAUUUCUCGCCAUUAAGGUGUAUUUGGGGUGUCAUAUCGAUAUCUCGAGGUUGCGGGAUUGCGGCCAAGUUCUCUCCCUCGAAAUCCAUUCACAUUUGACCCAGCAAUGACCCCUAGGGUAGGGAAUCCCCGAUGCGAGCAAAUGGCGCCAGUAGAGUCUAACAUCAUGUCUAGCCGUCCUAUAUCUGUGUCUUUACACUUAAUGCAUUCUGUACUAUGUUGUAUUCCUCCUCCUAUAUAAAGGGGAUCCUCACCACUUUGUAAAGGGCUGUUGUUGCUCCAACCGUUCUACACAAAAUCAAUAAUAUCUCUCUCUCUCUCUCUUUUCUCUCUAACUCACUCUCUCGAGGCUACUCUUUUCAUUUAUUUCUUUCAUAUUUGUUCUUCAUUUAUUGCUUGAUAUUGGCCAUAAACAACCUUCUUUAAUUAUAUCUUAAUUGUUAUCCCUUUCUCGGUUACUCCCGAUAGCUCGAGCUCGAGCCGAAUAUCGACCUCGAGGCCUUUUAUCGAUCAGUCUGAAGCCCAGGUAGAAAGCCCCUCGGUUUGAUUAUUGCCCCAUUCUAGCUUCUAUUUCGUCAUUAAACUUCAUAUGCAUAGCAUCAACUACUUUAACAACUAGCAUAAAAAUAGAUCACGUAUUUUUAGAGUCCCAUUUACAAAUUUGAUUGUUAUUACCAUAUUUACGGUAAACAGUUUGGCGCCCACCGUGGGGCUAAAAAUAAUAGUGAUUAUUUUCUUGAUGGUUUCAUUACACNNNNNNNNNNNNNNNNNNNNNNCUGGCUCGGUAAACAGAGUUGAGAAUGACUACCUUGAAAAUCACGGAGAAAAUCAGUCUGGUGCGCCACUGCAGAACCCCGAUAAUUCACCUGGACUGAUUCUAGCGAACGUGGGUUCGCAAGACAUGUAGCAGGUCGUCGAAACCUCACACACCGACAAAAGCAUACAACAUGGCAACCAAUAGGAAGCCCAGAAGACCCCGACUCGCGAAGUACAGGAAGUUAGUCUUCAUGAUAUUUUUGGAAUGUUGCAGGCACAAUAGUUGGCUAUCGCCCAGUUGCAAAGCCACCCGAAGACUCCCAGCACAGUAGCGCCGGAAACUAUCCCCCAACCGGACGGGUACCAGAGAGGUCAAGCAACAACAGAUCAGUAGUCGAUCCUACCAUCGUGAAAAUGCUGGAAGACCUUACCAAAAGGAUCGAGUCAGGCGAGAAAAUGAUAGCAGCCAACGAUAAGAAGGUCAAAACUUAUAACUUUUGAGUUGACCAAAUCCAAGGCGCGCCACCGGUACUGAAAGGUGUAGAUUCGAGGAAGUUCGUGCAACGGCCAUUCCCAAAGGAAGCGGCUCCGAAACCCAUUCCAAAGAAGUUCAGAAUGCCAGAACUCCCAAAAUACAAUGGGACCUAUGAUCCCAACAAACACGUCACAAAAGACGAUGAGAUCGAGUCCGUCUAACUGAAAAAGUUCGGAGAAAUGCUCUCGAAGGGGGCCAUGAUGUGGUACCACAACCUAGCGCCCAACUCCAUAGAUUCGUUUGCAAUGCUAGCAGAUUCCUUCGUAAGGGCGCACGCGGUGCUAUCAAGGUAGAAACAAGGAAGUCUGACGUAUUCAAGGUUAAGCAGAGGGAGAGCGAAAUGUUGCAAGAAUUCGUGUCUCGUUUCCAGAUAGAACGAAUGGAACUACCCCGGGUCUCUAAUGGCUGGGCAGUGCAGGACUUCACUCAAGGCCUGAAUGAAUAAAGAUCGGUGGCCUCAAGGCAGCUGAAAGAGAAUCUGAUCGAGUAUCCUGCCGUAACCUGGUCGGACGUCCACAAUUGAUACCAAUCAAAGAUCAGGGUAGAGGAAGACCAGCUGGGAUCCCCCUCGAGCUCAGUAUAUCCGAGCAUACUCUUAGAGAAGGAGUCAAGAUCGAAUAAAGAGAGGUACCAGUCGUACCCCGAUGAUAGGAGGAAUGCUCCAAGAUGCAACCCGCCUCGCAACGAUCGAUUGGUGAACAGAGGACAGAACCCUCGGGGACCCCUCAAUAGAGGUGCCUUAGACGGGGACACAGGGCCAACGGGGGCACCUCACCUAUCAGAAUACAACUUCAACGUCGAUAUAUUGGACAUCGUGUUCGCCAUUAGCAAAAUCAGGGACGCCAGAUGGCCCAGGACUAUACACUCGGAUACUUCCCAAAGAAACUACAACUUGAUUUGCGAGUUUCACAACUCGCACGGGCACAGAACCGAGGAUUGCAGGCAACUCCGAGAGGAAGUGGCCCGACUGCUCGACAACGGGGACCUUCGGGAAUUUCUCAUUAACCGGGCUAAAAACCAGUCCCGAGAAAGAGAAACAACCAAAAAGAACAAAGCAGACAAGGCCCAACACGUCAUCCACAUGAUUUUUUGAUGCUUGCUCCCGGACGUAUUCAAAUAAAGAACUACAUAACAUCCGCCAAACGAAUGCCGGAACCCGAAAGCGCCAUCGCCACUAAGAUAUAAUCACCUCUCCCUUUCUCUAUGUUUUACUUCAUGCUAACUCUUGUGCAGGCCAUCGACCAAGGCAGUCGGGACGCCACUCUGGCUCGAGGACCCUGAGGUUUCAAAGCCUCCGCUGCACUCUUUUCCUUUGACCGUUUUUUAUCCUGAAAUGGGUUUUUGCUGGUAAGGUUUUUAAUGAGGCAACGUCCACACACUUCCUAAGAAGGAUACAAUAGGCCUACCGAAUUUUCUUCACAAUCAACCCUGUACCGGGAAAUGACAAAUAAGGUUCCAAUAGGAAACGGUAUACCGGGACAAACGGUCAAAUGAACCGUGUCUGCACAAGCCGGGCUUACGGCAACACAAUGACAUGUAUUUACGCCAAGCAAUCAAAGAAUAUCUUUCGCCUAAAGCAUCUCAUACUCCAUGACCUCAGGGUCGAAACUUCGUGCUCAUAAGGCCCCAACGAGGUAAUUCUAAGCUCACGAGUAACGGCCUUCAAGACUAAGCAAACUCGAUGACUCAAAGACUGUCGUCAAUUUCCAUUCAUUGGAAAACCCGAGGCCGUAAGACCUCGAGCGGGCAAACUCGGUCUAGCCAGAUAUAUUUUACAUAAAAACAAAAAAUGGUAAGACCUCAACAGGCAUGAAAAAACUGUAAGACCUCAACAGGUAUGAAAAAAUUGUAAGACCUCAACGGCAUGACAAAACUAUAAGACCUAAACAGGCAUGAAAAAACUGUAAGACCUCAACGGCAUGACAAAACUGUAAGACCUAAACAGGCAUGAAAAUUUUGUAAGACUUUACCACAGGCAUAAAACUCGAUCCCAAAGUUUAUGCUAUAUGUCGCAUUUGUAAGACUCCCGAAAGGGCAUACCCUCAAUGUAGACGCCUAAACUGCCACACUCAGGAUCACAAAUGGCUUCGGCCAAACACAAAUGACUACGGUCAAUACGGCCGCACCAGUCAAANNNNNNNNNNNNNNNNNNNNNNNNNUUAACAAGGGAAAAGCAAAGCCUACAUAUGCCUAAGGGAAAAAGCGUAAGAUCCAUAGUCUCCAGCCAAACGAGCCUCAGGGCCACACACUAAAAUGAGGUCGAGUCGUAACCCGAUUCGGAGACCAGAUCCGAAAUAGUUAACUACACAUGCCUAAGGGCAUAGCAUAAGAGCCAUCGUCACCAGCUCCACAAGCCUCAGGGCCACAUACAUAAUAGGUCACUUCAACCCAAGGCGUAAGAGCCAUUGUCGCCAGCCCUUGCAGACGUAAAACUUGAGGGUCGAUUGAGCUCGAGUCGGAGCCCGACUCGGAGACUGAACCCAAAAAUGGUUAAAAUGAGCACGCCCAAGGGCAAAAGAUAAAAGCCGUUGUCGCCGGCCUAACGAACAUCAGGGCCAUAUUACAGGUUUGGAUAUUUCUACCAAUCUAAAGGUCGAAUAGACCCGAUUGAGAUCUUGACAAAUAGAAAUACAGAAGAUACAAAUUGCGAGCUUCCCUCUCUUAUUUUUACAUAUAGGCGGUGAAACGCAAGCUCAGUCUACAACAUAUUAUGGAAGCUAUGUACACAAGAAGGAGGCAGGGAAUAAACGUUCCCGCCUUCGGCAACUAUAGCCCAGCGGCUCCCUCCUCACCAUCUUCAACAUCGGACAGAAGGAACUUGGCACCAUACUCCUCCCCUUUGGCUUGCUCGAUUUCCCCCGAGAGAUCGAAGCCCCUGGCAUGAAUAUCCUCGAGGACUUCCCUUCGGGAUCUGCACCUCGCAUACUCCUUGCUAUUGCUUGCAAGAUCAAGGGCUCUCUUCAGCUCAACUUUAGAAGCGAGAGCACUCUUUGAAUAGGCCGCCACUUUUUGUCCCGCCCUAGUAUUACUCAUCACAACCUCGGCCCAAACAUUCACCACCUCGGUCUUCGCGUUUAAAAGCUCAGACGAAAGCCUUGCGAUCAUGUUCGCCUGAGCAAAAUCGUUCACACGAACGGUCUGGAUUUGUGCCUCAAGAGCGGAAACCUUGGCUUGAGCCCUCUCUUUGGCGACAAAAUGGGCACUUACAUGCACCCGCAGCUUGUUGAAUUUGCAUUUGGCUCGGCCAACCUCACCCUAGACCUGUCCUAGCUCAUUCGCCUUAUCCUCCAACUGAAACAUCGAAACAUCAGGAUGCGAAGACAGAAAGGGAGUGCAAGCCAGCAUAAAGUACAGGGUACCUGUUUCUCCAGGCGGAUCUCAUGGCUCCGGCUCUGGUCCACCUCACGCCAUAAGGAAACCAGCUCGCUUUCCUUCGCCUCACAAAGAAGCUUGAGGGAUUUCUCCCUAUUCAAAGCCUUCCACAACGGGGCCUCGCUAUGAAGCAGCUCGAAUUUAAGCUUGUCAAAGGCCUGUGAAAGAAAGCUAAAUAAAGAAAGAGAAAAGGGGAAAAAGAAAAGCAAGGGGCUGGAAUAAUCUUACAGCAGUCAAAACUCACCAUAAGGCCAAACCGAGAUGCCUCGCCGAAGGCCGAAACAACGUCCAAUGGCGUACCACUCCCAAAAGAUGGUCGAUCGACCGAAUAGCUUCUCCUUAACUGCUGAGAGGGAGUCGCCUCACUACAAGCCUUCUUUCACCCCGGAGCAUCUUUUCUUUUGUCAACACUCCUUGAUCCCGAGGCCAGCAAUCUCUCCUCCUCCCCCGGAGGACACGACCUUAUUUCGAAAGAACCCCCGGAACCAGCGACAGUUGAAUCAAAUAAGCUGGCAAGAAAAGCGCCAUUUUUUAGGAGACAGAGCACUGAGCACCUACCACGAUGCUUCGCCUCCCAUCUCCCUUUGGACAGAUCUCACCAUCGGCGCCUAUCAUAAAUCGAGCAAGCUGCUAGCUUACGAGACAACUCGGAUAAAUUAGGGACCUCGCUCGGUGACCAAUGGGUUGCUACAAAUAAGGAACAGAAGGAUAUCAUUACGGAGCCUGCCUUCGGUCAAAAUGAUGAUAGUUCAUAUGAGGCACUUACGUGUAAAGUUCCAUUUUUCAAGAAAUGGCAAAAAUUCUCUAGGAAUGACAUCGGUCUUUCGAAUCUGAAUGAAUCCAUUCAUCCAUUAUCGUCCUUAUCCUCCUCACUACCAACCACAUGAGCUCGGGUGGAUCUACGCUGAAGAUCAAUUAGACCCCGGUAACGCAGUGGCCGAUAUAACCUCAUGAGAUGGCUGAGGGUAAACUCUAUCCCGGCCUUAUCGGAAAAAUAUCUCAUCGCCUGCACUAUUUUCCAAAGGGAGGGAUGAGCCUGCGCUAGUGUAACCCGAUAUCUCCGACAGGAAUUGAGCACGACCCGGUCGGGGAAACCCGGCACAAAAACAUGCGUGUAUACGCUCAAAAAUACCUCAACAUAUGUCAUAACGCUCUCCUCGGGAGAAGGUACUUGUAAUAUCACGUCUUCUCCCAUCCGCAAUAUUUUCUAAUCAUCUCGAGAUUUUCCUCUCCCAUUGAUGAAAUGAUCCUCGACACAUGCUUCCGGUGGCCCGGAACAUUGGAAGGUUUCCUCGACGUGACAGCUCUCCCCGAGGCAGGGCAUCUCGAGCAUCGCUCACUUGACAUCGAAGGUGAGCUGCUGGCGCCAAACGAAUGCAGACACAGGAGGAGCUUUCCUCCACCGACGAUCGGAUGUUGACGUAGCAGUCAUGGCUACGGUAAAAUAAGAGGGGAAAGAUGAGGGUCUGAGCAAAAAAAAAUCUUCUUGAAAUAGGGGAGCGGAAGAACUAGAACAAAGCGCUAGGCUCUGCGAAAGAGAUAGCCUUUCAAAGCAGCAAAUUCACCGUUGGAAAGAUGGAUGAAUGAAUAUAUAGGGGCUAAGCAACAACUUCCCACCUACCCAAGAGGCCAAUUAAUUCUAGUCGCGUUAACGUCACCCUCUCCUAGGGAAACGUACUUGCGAAAUUAUCCCUGGGCCAUUUUUAUUGGAUCAUACAAAUAUUGUUACCCCACGAGGCCUCGAGAAGCUCCCUGACAUCACGAGCAUCGAUCCUAGAGAGGCUGUCAAUUUAACCUUGGGGCAUGGCCAAUUUCUAGAUCCCAGUUGCUUUGAGAACAGGUCCCGAAAGGCCAAUGUUGAGAGUCAUGAGCUAAAUCGCGAAAGCAAAUGGGCAAAGAAAGAAGAGACUGAAGAAAGCUGACAGGAGGAAAACCCCUUUUUUUUACAUUGCCAAAAUAUGUAUUCACAAAAAACAUCUUUACACAACCCAUCCCCCGGGGGCCGUAUACAAAGGGAAAGGGAAGGGAUAGAAAAUGACUCAGAGGCUACUCCCCAUCGCUAUUAUCUUUGCCCUCAUCGGGGGCAAUUAAAAGCGCCAACUCUUCCUCCAAUUUGCAGGCUUCCUUGAGAUCAGCUGAUAGGUUGAUACCUCUGGCUCUGAUGUCCUCAAAGGUCUCUCUCCUCGCCUCCGCCUUAGCAUGCUUAAUAGCUCGGGUUAAUUUCUUCCCAGCUGCUAUUGAUAUGUCACGAGCUAUUCUAUGCGUCGUGGCUGCAUCCUCCAGAUAAGUGGCGGCAUUUCGUUUAGCCUCGGACUUGGCUGCGGCCAAAGCAACAACCUCCUUGCGAGCAUCCUUGAUAAGAUCCCGAGAUAUCGCCAAAUCACCAGCCACAAAACAAAGGUGAACCAAUUUAUGUCGGAACACGGGAAUAGAAGUCGGGUACAAGCAAGGCAAAAUACCCGUGCGGUAAGGUCAAACUUUUCAAGAAGCGCCGUUUCCAAAGCAACUCGGGCCUCUCCUAGUUCCUUCCCUCCCUGGGCAAAGCGAACCUCCGAAUCCUGCAGCAUCGAGGUAGCUUUCUUACACUCUUUUUCAUGAUAAGAAAGCUCCUUGCAGAGUUGAAGGAUGGCAUGAUCGUACGUCUCCUUGCACUGCGGUAUAACAGAUAAGUUAGAAAGACAAGGGAUGACGUUUGAGGAUAAAAGAAAUACACGAGAAAUGGCUAUCACCUGCUGCAUGAAUUUCUCCGCCGCUUUACGGCGCUAGGAAUAUCAAGAUCGGCACUAUCACUAACACCAUUAAAGAUGUUGGCAAUAGAGCCUCCCCCUUAGAGAGGAAUCCCUGAUUUGAUGCCAACCACUUUUUAAGCGCUCUGUAGUUCCCCUGACGAGACCUAGAAGCAUGAGAGGAAGUCGUUUAGGUCGCCGACUUCUCCAGAAAGCAACCCAUGCUCUUGAAAGGCUUCGCCCCCGACCCUUUAGGAUCAAUGGCAGUGGUCCCCCCGGCAGAAACUACAUUGAAUCCAGUUGCGCGAUUUGAAGCUACUUUAACACCGUCUUCAAGGGUCUCCGGCUCGCGAGAUCGACCGGAGUCAACCGUUCCGGACUCAGUAGCCUUCGAUCGAGGCACCUAUGAUGCUCUCGCAUUCGACCCCGUCCUCCGCACUAACGCAUGUUCAUCAUCAUUAUCACCCUCUUCCUCGGUGUCAAGAUUUGCCCCUGAAGUCGAAGUAGAGGUCCCGGCAGCGGCUCAGUGCUCGAAGUGACCCAAAUUUCUUUGCCACAUGAAGGACAACAACUGCCUUGCUUUACAUCUUCUUGCUCAUGUCAGGCUCCAAAUCCCCUGGCCUCAUCAGCAUAUUCUCGCCAAGACCUGCAUAAGUGCGGUAACCGCAAUAUGUCACCACCAAGGGCGUGGGGGGAAACACAAACAUAAGACAUAGGCGGUAAGGAAACUCUAUCGUGAUUCUUGGCCACCCAUCGCCCCUUGGCCAGGUCGGUCCAAGACCGAACAAAAUAUGGGAACUUCUCGUCCAACCGCUUGAUCCAUCCCGACAAAUCUAGAACUGCCUCGGGGUACCAAGCAGCGGCUGCAGGAAGCCCAAUGAGAUUGUUAUUUCAAAAAGAAGAAUAGUUGAAAAGCGGUUAAGGGAAAAUUGCUUACGUUGGGUGUUCCACCCCUCCAGAAAGGGCAUCCUCUGGGCCGGGAUGAUAUCCGAGGUCUUUACUCGGAUAAACCUUCUCAUCCAUCCUCGAUCCUUUCCCACAUCGGCGCUCAAGAAAAAUGAUUUUUUGGAUCGAUGAUGGAGCCUGAUUAAACCUCGAUAAAAUCAAGGGUUGUACAUCCUGAUUAUAUGAUUGAGGGUAAAGAUCUCACUCUCAACCCUUUCGAUUAAAUGGCAAAACAUCAAUAUUAUCCUCCAAAAAGAAGGGUAGAUCUGACCAAGCGUCACUUGGUAUCGGUCGCAGAAGUCAAGGAUAACUGGGUCUAUCUCCGGGGGAGACGACUAGGAAGAAUUAUAGGGACCCAGGGUAAAUGGGUAGGUGUACACGUAAAGAAAGCCGAACUUAUGAUUCGUUAUAUUAUCAUUGGGACUGGGAAUCUCCACCCCCACUGCUUCGCUCCAUCGGCAGUCCGUCCUCACCGUGCUAAUAUUGAUCACGAUGCUAACAUAUCGGGACAUAUGCUCACACCGGCCCGGUGUAGAUGAAGUGGCAUCGACAUUAAAAUCCUUUGACAUAUAGAGAUUAGGUGGGGUACACUAUUCAAAAGAAGGAAUCGCUCUCGUUUCCUCCUUAGAUGAUCGAGAUGAUGAUGCAGCGUCGUUCCGCCGAGGAACUGUUCUAGAAGUCCUAGCCAUGUCAAUAGAAAAAAAUUUCUCUAAAAAAAAGAUAGAAGAAUGGAAGAGGCAAAGAGUACUGACUCGUGAAUUUGGAGAUGGGGUGAAAGUAAGAAGUAUCAAACAGUCGAUGCAUUUAUAGGAACCACCUGGGCGGCAGAAAGGAUGAGCCAAUGGCAGUUCGUGGGUUCCUCGAUUAUCGCAUUUGACGACGACCUUUGUAUGGUUUUCUGGAAUAUGGCAUUUAAUGCUCUUAUCGGUUGACGUCACGACAAUCAUGACCUCGAGACGACGGUUCAAAAUCGUUUCCUAUUACUUCAUUCUAGGAAAUGCAGAGACUAGCUGUAUAUGGUGAAAUUGAAGGGUCCCAUUUCUCACCAUUAAGGUGUAUUUGGGGAGUCAUAUCGAUAUCUCGAGGCUGUGGGAUUGCGGCCAAGUUCUCCCCCUCGAAUUUCAUUCACGUUCGACCCAGUAAUGACCCCGAGGGUGGGGAAUCCCCGAGGCGAGCAAAUGGCGUCAGUAGAGUCUGACAUCAUGUCUAGCCAUCCCAUCUCCGUGUCUUUAAACUUAAUGCAUUCUGUACUAUGUUGUAUUCCCCUUCCUAUAUAAAGGGGAUCCUCACCACUUUGUAAAGGGUUGUUGUUUCUUCAACCGUUCUACACAAAAUCAAUAAUAUAUGUCUCUCUCUCUCUCUUUUCUCUCUAACUCACUCUCUCGAGGCUACUCUUUCCAUUUAUUGCUUUCAUACUUGUUCUUCAUUUAUUGCUUAAUAUUGGCCAUAAAGAGCCUUCUUUAAUCAUAUCUUAACUGUUAUCCCCUUCUCGGUUACUCCGGAUAGCUCGAGCUCGAGCCAGAUAUUGACCUCGAGCCAGAUAUCGACCUCGAGGCCUUUCAUCAUUCAGUCUGAAGCCCAGGUAGCAAGCCCCUCGGUUUGAUUAUUGCCUAAUUCUAACUUGUAUUUCGUCAUUAAACGUCAUACGCCUAGCAUCAACUGCUCUAGCAACUCGCAUAAAACUAGAUCACGUAUUUUUAGAGUUCCAUUUACAAAUUUAAUUAUUAUUACCAUUUUCACGGAAACAAUGCCACUUUCUGGUCUGCCCUAGUGCGACUUAUUACGGCCUCGGCUCGGGCAUUCACCACCUCAUCCUUCGCCUUCAAAAGCUCGGACUCGAGCCUUGUGAUCAUAUUCGCUCGGACAAAAUAAUUUGCGUGAGCGUUCCGAAUUACCUCGAGGGCAGAAGCCUUAGCCAAAGCAUCCUCCUUAGCCGCAACUUGGGCAUCUACUCGAGACUUUAACUCGUCAAGCUCACAUUCGGCCCGGACAACUUCGCCCCAAAGACGUUCCAUCUCCUCCGUUUUGCUCUCCAACUGAAAUAUCGAAACAUUAAUCUCCGAAAAUGAAUGGGGGCAUACAUCAACCUGAAAUACAGGUUACCUGUCUUUUGAGACGGCUUUCGCAGUUCUGAAUUCUAUCCACCUCACACCGCAGGUAUACCACCUCACCUUCCUUUCUCUCACAAAGGAGCCUAAUGGAUGUCUCCCUAUCCAAAGCUUUCCGCAGCCUGGCCUCAUGGCGAAGAAGCUCGAACUUAAUCAUGUCAAAGGCCUACAAAGGAAAAUUUAAUAAGAAAGGAAGGGCACGAAACCGAUAUAAGCAUAUACCGGCUACCGAAGCUCACCAUAAAGCCAAGCUGAUGAGCCUCACCAAUGUCCAAUGGCCUAGUAUCCCCCAAAGCGCCUUUGGUAGAAAAAGAGGGAGGCUCCGUAUGACUCGCACUCCUUGAAAUACCUUCAACGGGAACGAGAAAUGAUCUUUCAGAAAUAGAGGCCUCCGAAGUCGGAAGAUCGGCUGAAUCGCCUCUUUUGAACCUCAGAAAAGGAUUUGCCCCACCGUGAGCAUCCUCACACCUCGGAGAUUCUUUCUAUUUAUUGUCAACCCUUGACCCCGAGGUCGGAAGUCUUUCCUCCUCCUCCAGGGGGCACGGUCUCAUCUCGGAAAAAUCUCCAACACCUGCGGCGAUAGAAUUAGUGCGCUAAACAGGAAGGUACCUUUCUGAGGAAAUAAGCCACUAAACGCCUACCGUGAUGCUUUGCCUCCCAUCUCCCCCCGGACAGGUCUCGCCACCUGCGCUUAACAUAGGUCGAACAAGCUUCCAUCUUGCGGGACCACUCAGCCAGAUUAGGGAUCUCAUUCGGCAACCAAGGAAUCGCUACAAAGAAUAAGAUAGAAAGACGCCUUUAUGGAGUCCUCCCUCGCUAUGGACAAAGCGAUAAAAAUACAAGUAUGCCACUUAAUUGUGAAAUUCCAUUUCUUAGGAAAUGGUAAGAACUCUCCAAGGAUAAUGUCGACAGUCCGUGCUCGAAGGAACUGGCUCAUCCACCCCCGGUCCUCGUCCUCUUCGUUGUUAAUGGCAGGGGACCGAGUGGAUCGAUGCCGCAGGGUAAUCAAGCCCCGAUAAUACAGCGGCCGAUAUAACCUAACGAGAUGGCUGAGGGUGAAUUCAAGCUCGGCCUUAUCCAAAAAGUACCUUAUCAUCAGUACUAUAUUCCAGAGGGAUGGAUGAACCUGAGCCAAGGUAACCUGAUAUCUCCUACAAAACUCAAGCACGACCCUGUGAAGGGGACCCGAUGUAAAAGGAUAUGUGUACAUGCUCAAAAACCUCUCGACAUGGGUCAUGAUAUUCUCCUCGGGGGAAGGUACCUGUAGUACUACUCCUUCUCCCUAUCCGCAAUCUUUUCUAAUCAUCUCGAGGUGUUCCACCCUUAUUGAGGAGAUGAACCUCGAUACGUGCUCCCUAUGCCCUUGAAUGUUGGAAGGUCUCUCCAACGUAAAGUCUCUCCUAGAGACAAAGCACCUCGAAGCUCACUCACCGGGUACCGGCGGUGUACUACCGACUGGACAUACAACAGAGGUAGAACUCCCCUCUCUUUGACGGGAGGAUGUCGAUGUAGCAUCUAUGGCUACGGUAAAAUAGGAUGAGGAUGAUGAAUGUUUGGGCCAAGGGUUCAAGCCAAAACGACGAAAGAACUAGCACAAAGAACAAAUCUCCAUGGAAGAAAUAGUUACUUUGAAUAGCAGAAUCUCCAUUUGAGAAGUAAGCGAGUGAAUAUAUAAAGGCAGGCAAUGACUGCUCGCUACCCAGAGGACCAAUUAAUUCUGGCCAUGACUGUAGACAUGUGACUUUUGACCCUCCCCGAGAUUUUACAUAUUUUAGCAUAUAAAUAUUUAGUAGAUCUAGUAUCGAUAUUUUAUCUAGUUUUGACCCUUUUACUUUAUUUUAUCACAAAAAUAAAAAUUACAAAAAUAUUUUCUUUUAUUUAGCUAAUUAAUAUUUUAUCUAGUUACUUUUAAUUUAUCUACUUUACAUAAAAUUCAAAAAAUACAAAAAUAGUUCCACUUUAUUUUUAGGAAUAUUAUUUUAAUGAUUUUAAUCUAAUUCCAUUUUUAUCUUUUAGUAUAAUAUUUGAAAAAUACCAAAAAAUAGGUUUGUUUUAAUGGUUAGUAUUAUUUUAAUAGUUAUUUUACUUAAGUAAGAUUGAUUGGUAAAUAAGGUCGUAUUUUUAGUCUUGUUCACAGAGAACCAUUUUUGGACCUAGCCCAUAAUAACUCAAGCCCAAUACCCUUAAAACCCUAGACUUAGACUUAAAAGGACCCCUAACCUAAGGAGAGAACCUAGACCAAUCAGCCAUUUUCUGAUUUUAGACCCUUAAUCAGCCACAAUAGACCUAGAAAACUCUACAGAUCAGCAGCUAGAAGAGAAGAGCUAACACAGAAGAGAGCAAUGGCGGAGCUCUCUUGAAAAGGACCCCCCUAUCAACUCAUCUUCUUCUUCAGAGAAGAAGAGCCAAUUUCCAUGGCUUCUUCUUAACCAAACCAAAGAUCCUUGCUCUCUUCAAACACACAAACAGCUGUUCCCCCUCGUCUUCAAAUUCCUCUCUCUAUCGUUUCACCUCCAUCGCCGGCGAGAUUCACUGGAAACCGGCGAAAACUAACCCCAUAACCAGUCAGUUUGCUAUUCGAUUCUCUGAGCUUCAGAACUAUUUGUUACGCAAAGCUUCAGUUUAUUCUCAUAUCGGAACUCAUGGAGGGGAACUGCUCGAUUUUGUUUUGAAGUCGAGCGUUCCAGUCCAAAGUCAAAGAAUCGAGUCGAGGUGUCCGUUGUAGCCGAGUUCGAAGUACUUUGGUCGAGUUUCAUUGAGAUUCUGGCGAGGCAUUUCGUUUUUCUGUUUGAGGUUCACAUUUGCUCGCCGAUUCGAGAAUAGUUAGAGCUGUAGAGAUCCAAUCGCUUAUCUUGUUUGCUUUAUCGGUGUAGUGUUCCAUAUAAAUGAUAUGUAUUAAUAUGGCUCCUGCUUGGAUCUGUUCUCCUGUUGUUUUAGCCUAAUUUUUCUUAGUUGUUAAUUCUUACCAUUAAGUUUAUUGGUUCUGGUUGUUGAGUGAAAAUAGCCCUACUAAACUGCUGAAAUCUCUAGCUAACUGGUAGCUAAUGCAGUCGUACCUUAGUUCAAGAUAAUUUUGUUAGUAAAUCCUUUUUUGUAUAAGACGUUUUCCUUAAGAAACCCAUUAGAAAGAGGGCAAGUUUAUUGAAGAAUCUUGAUUUAAUUAAUACAAUUUCCUCUUCUACUUUCCUGCACUUGAAAAUGACCGAAGAAUUAAACUUGAAAAAUGAGGAUAAGCGAUGGUCACAGUAAUGCAUUUGGUCUUAAGGUUUGGUAUUGUAAAAUUUGUUUUCCUUUAUCAGAUAUUUCAUCAAGUUUAGUUAGUUCCUAGCUUUAGUUUUAUCAUUUGGUCGAAUUAUUUUCUAAUGUUGGCUUAACUGUUUUAUAAAUUUUUUAUCAAUCCUUCAAUAAUCCUCUUCCUCUAUUGACGUGUAAUCAGUACUAGAUAAAAUGUUCCCAUAACUCUUGGGUCUCUCAAUAAUCUUGGCUUAGGAAAUACAUAACGCAUAAAUCGAUAGUAUGCUUUAGGCACGUAUUAAUAAAUAAUUAUCGUGAUUGUGUACAUGUUCGCGUGACAUAAUUACGAUCUAAAAAAUAAAAUGGGGGUAUGCGUUUCGCGCAACUUCGGCCAAACUUUCUUAAUAUUAAUAAAGCGUUAUUAAUAGUGAACACGUUCACGUGAAAUUUUUUUUUGACGCGCCAAACAAAUGAGUACACGUGCGCGUGACCUAUUUUAAGAUAACAUCUUAAUUAAAAGAGGAAAAUGCACAUAGUUUCUAAAAUGAGUAAUUAGACAAUUUGAUUAAGCCAAGUAUGAUCAAAGCGACCGUGCUAAAACUACGUAAUCCGAGAAUGCCUAACACCUUCUCCCGGGUUAGCAGAAAUCCUUACUCAGAUUUUUGUGUUCGCAGACCAUAAAUAGAGUCAAACUUCCUCGAUUCGUGAUUUUAAACCGGUGACUUGGGACAUCAUAAAUUAUCCCAAAUGACGACUUUGAAUUUUAACUAAAAUAAUCGUGUUUCGAUUGUCACUUUAAUUGGAAAAACUCCCUUAUACCCCCUUCACGUGUAGAAAAAGGAGGUGUAACAGCUCUAGCGACUCUACUGGGGAUAAGAAUCCAGAAUCUCUGGUUCUUGGUUCAGAAUUCGAGCUUGUUAAUAUGAUCUAUGCUUUGCUUUAUUUAUUGUUCAUAUUAUCGUAUUUGUGGACCUAAUGUGCUAACUGCUGCUUAUUUACCGCUUUGAUAGUAUUUGAAUUGUAUUAAACUGUCUUUUUACGCCUCCCACCUGAGUUUUCUAAAAUAUGGUGCACAUGUUCGCGUGACCCACUUUUCUGUUAGAAGUUAUACCAAAUAGAGCGAGGCUAGGCCAGCAAUAAGGUCGGGCAGACUUUUGUGCUCCCGGUACGUUGCCCCCAUCUCGGCUCGAGUUGUCCGCUCGGGUAAGCUAGGUCUAGAACAGACCCCAGGUUAAACCUAGAAUAACAUAGCCUCAUGUCGGAACCAUAGUAGGAAUGUUUGUUUGCAUCACAUGCAUUUGACCUUGGGGACUCAACACAGGGGUUGGGUCCGUCUAGGACAGGUGUACCCAAAUUAAAAGACCAUCCUGAUGCAUCUUACGUGCUACUUGUGUAUCUGUUUUCUUCAGCUUGUAUGUUGACUAGCUAUUAGAAUAGGUAAAGAAAACAAAACAAAAAAAGGAAAAAAAAUUGAAAAAAAUCAAGAGUGAGAGGUAGGUAAUCCGAAGCUUUGCCAAAAUUUUNNNNNNNNNNNNNNNNNNNNNNNNNNNNNNNNNNNNNNNNNNNNNNNNNNNNNNNNNNNNNNNNNNNNNNNNNNNNNNNNNNNNNNNNNNNNNNNNNNNNNNNNNNNNNNNNNNNNNNNNNNNNNNNNNNNNNNNNNNNNNNNNNNNNNNNNNNNNNNNNNNNNNNNNNNNNNNNNNNNNNNNNNNNNNNNNNNNNNNNNNNNNNNNNNNNNNNNNNNNNNNNNNNNNNNNNNNNNNNNNNAUUUUCUUUCUUCUUCAGAAGUCUUUCUUUUAAAAAUUUUUGAAAAAAACAAAUAAAAAAACUAAAAAAUAUUUUCAUUCUUUUUUCAUUGAAAAGAAAUUCAAGAAUCAAAUUUUUUUUUUCUUUAGAAGCAGUUCUUUCAUAAAUUGAAAAUAAAAGUCCAAAAAUCCAAAAAUAUUUCCUUUCUUCUUUAAAAGUUUUUCUUUCGAAAUUCCAAAAAAGAGUUAAAAUUCAAAAAUAUAUAUAUAUUUUCUUUCUAAAAAAAGUUUCAAAAUUCAAAAAGAGAGUCAAUUUAUUUACUUUAUUCCCGAUCUUCCCGAACUACGCAAGAUCUGAUUCAUGUUCCCAUAUGAUACGUAGGCAACCCACAUCAGGUUUGACCACCAUUAAAAAAAUAUGAUAAAAUGAAAAAACAAAAUGAUGAUAAUAAUAAGGGCUGACUGAGAUCAUUCUAACAUGUCUUUUAUUUUGAGUUGUGAAGAAAGUUUGAGGUGGUCGGUUUGUUGUAAGUUGACAACACAAGAUUCAAAGGAAAAAUGUCAUUGACUACUGACAUCGAAGUUGUUGCAAGCAGUUAUGAGACUCAGGGUCAGAGGGUUCAACAAGAGUCUACUGUGGUUGAGGAAAAUAGAAUACUGAAACAAAAAAUGACUGAAAUGUGUCAAGAGUGGGCCAAUGGCCAAGGACCGCCCUUUUCUUCUUAUGGUUUUCCAGAGUUCACACUCAUCUCAACUACUGCCAUUCCAGUCUUAUUGUCUGAUCAAUUCUAUCCACCUGGGUUCAGUCAUUAUCCCAACUGUAUGACUACAGCUGGAACCUCUGUUGUGCGCUCUCAAAGUUUGCCAUUGACAACCAAUCAGAUAACCGCUAUUGUUAUGCAUGUCUUCACCAUUCCACAGCCGACGGUGGUGCAGAGGAAAACUCAUGAGUCACAGUUUGCCACCCAGCAAGAACAGUCCCACUCUCUACUCUCUCGAGUACCACUCAUACCUAUUCGAUCUUCCUGCAAAGAUUGAGAAGCCUGCCCGAAAGAUGGCAUAGGAAGAAAUGACCCAAAGAGUGAAAAGCUUAGAGCAACAGUUGAAAAACAUGCAAGAGUUGGAAGGUCAGAAGAGUAUUGCCUUACAAGAUCUAUGUAUAUUCCCCGAUGUUCGUUUGCCAGUUGGUUUCAAGAUCCCCAAAUUUGAAAAGUAUGAUGGACAUGGAGACCCAAUAGCCCACCUGAAAAGGUUUUGCAAUCAACUAAGAGGUGCAGGAAGAAAUGAAGAAUUGCUAAUAGCUUAUUUUGGGGAAAUCCUUAUGGGAGUAGCAUCCGAAUGGUUUAUGGAUCAAGACACAUCUCGCUGGUACGUCUGGGAUGACAUGGCACAGGCAUUUGUCAAACAGUUCCAAUACAACAUUGACAUUGCCUCAGACCGCAAUUCCCUUUCAAACCUGAAGAAGAAAUCAAGUGAAAGUUUCAGGGAAUAUGCCAUUAAAUGGAGAGAGCAAGCAGCUAGAGUUAAGCCACCCAUAGAUGACCACGAGCUAAUCAUUGUCUUUCUUCAGGCGCAAGAGCCAGAUUACUUUCAAAACAUGAUGUCCGCAGUUGGCAAAUCCUUCUCAGAAGCAAUGAAAAAUGGGAGAAAUUGUAGAGAAUGACCUUAAGACAGGCAAAAUUAUAACUCUAAGUAGCUCUCAAAGCUGCAACUCAGGCUGUCCAAAUUGAAUCUGGUGACACGAAUGAAACGGACGAAGAAAUCAUGAUGACAUCAGGGGCGAGAAGUGGUCCUCGGAGAACAUCUCGAAGAUAUGAACAACCUCGUCUGGCUUUCCAUGAUUUCCCUAAAUACUAUUAUCCACCUCAGAACCUCAAUACUGUGUUACUUCACCUCAGUAUGUUACCGACCACCAAGACAUCCCAGAAGGCGAGCACCAGCACCGCAAAAUCUCCACCAGCCUCCACAAACUUUUCAAGUGCCCUAUAACCCACAUCCAAGCCAGGGGUAUAGAAGGGAACAAAGGUUGAAAGAUAAUUUUACACCAAUAGGAGAGUCCUAUGCAAGCUUAUUUGAGAAGUUAAAGCAUUAUGACAUGAUUGCACCCAUUCCUCCAAAUCAUGUAGACCCACGUGCAAGAAGCUUUGACCCAUAUAAAAGGUGUGAAUACUAUUCCAAUGCCCAGGGGCACAAUGCUAAAAGUUGUCGGGAUUUGAAAAGAGAAAUAGAAAGGAUGAUUCAGGAAAAAACUAAUUGUGAUCCAAGACAAUGACACCUAGAAUAUCACGCAGAAUCUUUUACCUGCACAUGAUGAUGCACACUUUGUGGGAUGAUGUCUGGUGACAUGGAGAAUGAGAAUCCACUCGGGAACUUGCCGACUGAAAUUGGAGAAGGCCAUAGUAAUUCUGAUGAGCAAAUUUGUGGCUAAAUAUCAAGGUUAGCAAUUGAAAAGUCAUUCCCUCCUUACUAGCAAGGAAUCUUGGUGGUUUGUUUUGAUUUUUUUUCUAUUAUCUGGGUUAUUUCAGGGUUGUGAUCCAGAUUUUAUUUGUUUUAUUGAGUCAAAUCCUUCUAUCCCUCCAUUCUGUCUGUGCGAGUCCUGUCCGUUUGCUCUGUUGCUAUUUUCAUCAUCCGGGUUAUUUUAGGAUUCUAACUCGGAUUUUAGGUUGUUUGUCUUGUUAUUUACUCAAUAAAAUGCAGUUUGUCCUUUUGUAUCGUUCCAUGCUUAGUUCUUUUACCGCUAGUUUUAGUGACAUGACAUGCAUGCGGAAUUUUUGGCCAGAUCUUAGAAAAUUGAUUUAAGCUUGUAUUGGAUAACUGAGAAAAAGACACUUUUGAGGAUGAAAAAGAGUUGAAAUACUUUGGAAUUAAGGUCGAGUAGAAUUCACCUUCAAAUCAAUGUGAAGAUCGGGCUUGAGGGUAUUGAAUCAAUUGAAGCUUGGUUGAAAGUUUGACAUUAAUGGAUGGAGAGUAUCUUUCGACCACGACACACCAAGAAGAUAAACAUGUUCAUCAAUGUUGUGAUUGCAGAAGGAUACUAAUUUUGGCGUUCUCGAGGUCGGGAGGCCCUUUUUCUGCUAUCCAAAAAUGUUAUAUCCUUCGUUACCCCUUUUGAGCCUGUGUUAUUUUCUUUGACCACCCUCUUUUGGAAUCUAGUUUAGAGUCAAGAGUCCAAAAAAAAGGAAAAAAGGAAAAAUGAUAAAAAAAGAAAAGAAAAGAAAAGAAAAGUCCAUGUCCCAAGAGUACAAACUGGAGCAAUUCUUAGAAAGUUCAAGAAAAAAAAUGAAAAAGAAAAGAACUGUCAAAGGUCCAUGCCCCUAGAAAAUAGAAGCUGGGGCAACUUGUUUUGAAAACAAAAAUAAAAAAAGAGAUAAAAAAAGAGGAGAGAUACAGAAAAAAAGAUGAUUUUUUUAGUUAGGUCAGAAGUUUGAACUACGUUCGACCUGAUUCCUUAAAAAAAGAUACGUAUGUGUCAUACCUUCUUUUUACCUAUCCCCAGAAGGGUUUAAGGGAGUUUUUUCCAACUUAAAGUGACAAUCGAAACGAGAUUAUUUAUUUAUAAAUUCAGAGUCGCCACUUGGGAUAAUUUAUGGUGUCCCAAGUCACCAGUUUAAAAUCCCGAAUGAGGAAAGAUUGACUCUGUUUUCAGUCCUCGAACACAGAAAUUCGGGUAAGGAAUUUUGUUAAUCCGGGAGAAUGUAUUAGACAUUCCCGGGUUCCGUGGUUUUAGCACGGUCGCUCAACUGUUAUUAUUGGCCUAUUUAUUUAAUUAAUCACAUCUUUUAAACCUACGUGCAUUUUUAAACCUUUUAAGCCGCUUUUAAAAAUCCAAUUAUUAUACAGCUAAUUAUUGAUUAUACAUGGCAAAUCAUGUCACGAGAACCGUACCCACGAUCCACAACAUGUUUAUUUUAAUUAACAAAAAUAUUGUGGUUGGGUCACAUAAAUGUACACCCGGUUUUAUUACAAAUUAAGUGUCAUGACCACGUCACAGGAACCGUACCCGUAGCUAUGACAAUUAUUUAAUUAACGCGCCUAAAGCAAACUACGAAAGUUUAAGGCAUUUUUUUAUACUAGUUUUUGUAUUUAUGUGAGGGCCAUACAUUAUGGAUUUUGUUUGCGUAUGACACACCUCAAUUAUUUUAAAAGAAAAGAAUUAUUUCACUAAGGUAAACUAAAGAUACUCCUACUUUAAUCUAAUUUAAAAUUAUAUAUCACGACCAUGUCACGAGAACCGUACCCGUAGUCAUGAUGAUGAUUUAUUUUCAUGCCUAAAGGUUCGCCUACCCGGAUGUGGUGGCCUAAGUAUGCUCUUAUGACCAAUUAAGAGAAUAAAAGUUAUAAAUUCCAAUGUUCUUUCAUUUAACGACAAAGCUCGUGCCCACAUAUUAUUAAAAGUUUUGCUAAACCAAUACAACCCAUUCAACUGAAGCGAAGCAUCCAAUCCUAGUAGACCAAACGGAAUGAAAUGAUUAUAAGAAAUCAAACCCCGGUUGACCCAGUGUAUUAAUUCAAACGAAUUUCAUCCAAGCAAAUGUAUGGUUUUUGGAAAUUUCAAUAGAGAGAUAGGAACAAAACUUAUUAAAAUUCAAUCCAUUUUAAUCAUAGAAAUUCGCAUCGUCAUAAUCAAACCAACAAGGGAAAGCUAACUACUACAGAUUAAUACACAUAAUUAUGAAGUAUGCAUUCAUUUCACAUUCUAACUUGAAUAAAGACGAGCAACAAAGCACUGUGCUUAAGGCUUUCACAUAUCCUUUUCAUGCUAAAAUCAUAUCAAAAAUAGAAUAAUAGGGAAUUGACAAUGAACCUGGACUGAACUUCUUCUUAGUAACAGUAGAGGAAUGAGCAUAUACAAUGUUUUUCUCCCAAAUUUAAACUGAGAACAACGCAAUCGAGUAGAAACGUGAGCCAAACCACGAACCUCAGACGGAAACUCGAAUCAGUAUCGGAACGAAAUCAAUCGAACCCUGUCGAUUCCAUGGAAGAAACGGGAGUGGCGACGAAAGGGGGGCUGCUAUGGUGGUGGAAGAGCUCGGAGACAGUGAGGCACGGCUGGGUUAUCUGAGGGGGGUUGGUUUCCGGUGAAGCAACGACUGCAGGUGUGGGCUUCGCCGGAGAUGAGGAAAGGGGGGGUCGUUUGGAGAAGACGAAGUCAGAGGGUGGGGUCGUUUAUGGCUGCGGUGGAUCUGUUUUGUCUCUUAGGUCUAGGUGUAUUUUUUUUCUAUCUUUUGGCUGAUUAGGUCUAGGGUGUAUAUAUUGUGUAUUUGUUUUUUCUCUUAGGUCCUUAAUGUCUUUUGUAUUUAUUUUUUGUUCCCAAGAAGAGUCUAGAAGAGUCUUUAGGGUUAGCUUGAUGGAUAUUGGGUAUUGGACAUAAUGGGCUAAUCUGAAUUGGGCCAAAAAUUAGGUUCUAAAACUUCUAAAAUUGUG
This 41504-nucleotide long non-coding RNA is filed under the name Nicotiana tabacum (common tobacco). Its description in RNAcentral is "long non-coding RNA (NTAB_LNC007081)". Lineage: Eukaryota; Viridiplantae; Streptophyta; Magnoliopsida; Solanales; Solanaceae. The record is from RNAcentral.